AUGGGCAAAAUUCACCCCAAAAUUCACCCAAAAUCUGCACAAAAUCAAAACAUUCAACCCAGGAAACCCAAAAUCCCCAAAAACGCCCAAAAUUCACCCCAAAAAAUCCCAAAAUGCCCCCAAACCCCCGAAUUUCCCCCCCGGAACCCCAAAAUCGCCGUUUUUUGCCCCAAACUCGCGUUGGGGACGAAGAUCCGGCUCUGGCCCGACUCCAGCAGCUGCUCCAGCUCCUCCUCCGACAGCGGCGGCUGCCCGGCUGCCAAAAUCGGGGAAAUCGCCCCAAAACGGAGUCAGAAACCCCAAAUCAGGACAAUUUACCCCAAAAUUGGGGAAAUCGCCCCAAAAACAGGGUUAGAAACCCCAAAAUCAGGAAAAUUUACCCCAAAAACAGGGUUAGAAACCCCAAAUCAGGACAAUUUACCCCAAGAAUGGGAAAAUUUAUCCCAAAAUUGGGGAAAUCACCCCAAAACGGGGUCAGAAACCCCAAAUCAGGACAAUUUACCCCAAGAAUGGGAAAUAUACCCAAAAUUGGGGAAAUCGCCCCAAAACCGGGUCAGAAACCCCAAAAUUGGGACAAUUUACCCCAAGAAUGGGAAAAUUUAUCCCAAAAUUGGGGAAAUCACCCCAAAACGGGGUCAGAAACCCCCAAAUCGGGACAAUUUACCCCAAGAAUGGGAAAUUUACCGCAAAAUUGGGGAAAUCGCCCCAAAACGGGGUCAGAAACCCCCAAAUUGGGACAAUUUACCCCAAGAAUGGGAAAUUUACCCCAAAAUUGGGGAAAUUGCCCCAAAAACAGGGUUAGAAACCCCAAAAUCAGGAAAAUUUACCCCAAAAACAGGGUUAGAAACCCCAAAUCAGGACAAUUUACCCCAAAAACGGGGAAAUUGCCCCAAAACGGGGUCAGAAACCCCAAAUCAGGACAAUUUACCCCAAGAAUGGGAAAUUUACCCAAAAUUGGGGAAAUCGCCCCAAAACCGGGUCAGAAACCCCAAAAUUGGGACAAUUUACCCCAAAUGGGGAAAAUUUACCCCAAAAACGGGGAAAUCGCCCCAAAACGGGGUCAGAAACCCCCAAAUUGGGACAAUUUACCCCAAAAAUGGGAAAUUUACCCCAAAACUGGGAAAAGGGUCCCAAAAAGGGAAAAUUUUCCCCAAAAUGGAAAAAGGACCGCAAAAGUGGGAAAAUUUUCCCAAAAAUGGGAAAAAAGACCCCAAAAAGGUGAAAAUUUUCCCAGAAGUGGUUAAAGGAACCCCAAAAAGGCGAAAAUUUUCCCAGAAAUGGUUAACGCAACCCCAAAAGUGGGAAAAUUUUCCCAGAAUUGGUUAA
RNAcentral lists this long non-coding RNA (1326 nucleotides) under Chloebia gouldiae (Gouldian finch). RNAcentral's name for it is "Erythrura gouldiae (Gouldian finch) lncRNA (ENSEGOG00005009254.1)". Lineage: Eukaryota; Metazoa; Chordata; Aves; Passeriformes; Passeridae. The record is from RNAcentral.